Molecule: ribosomal RNA, 484 nt
Filed under: Klebsiella pneumoniae
Lineage: Bacteria; Pseudomonadati; Pseudomonadota; Gammaproteobacteria; Enterobacterales; Enterobacteriaceae
Also listed under: 1 other name
Description: partial 23S ribosomal RNA
Rfam family: Bacterial large subunit ribosomal RNA
Source: RNAcentral
GGUAUAGACCCGAAACCCGGUGAUCUAGCCAUGGGCAGGUUGAAGGUUGGGUAACACUAACUGGAGGACCGAACCGACUAAUGUUGAAAAAUUAGCGGAUGACUUGUGGCUGGGGGUGAAAGGCCAAUCAAACCGGGAGAUAGCUGGUUCUCCCCGAAAGCUAUUUAGGUAGCGCCUCGUGAAUUCAUCUUCGGGGGUAGAGCACUGUUUCGGCUAGGGGGUCAUCCCGACUUACCAACCCGAUGCAAACUACGAAUACCGAAGAAUGUUAUCACGGGAGACACACGGCGGGUGCUAACGUCCGUCGUGAAGAGGGAAACAACCCAGACCGCCAGCUAAGGUCCCAAAGUCAUGGUUAAGUGGGAAACGAUGUGGGAAGGCACAGACAGCCAGGAUGUUGGCUUAGAAGCAGCCAUCAUUUAAAGAAAGCGUAAUAGCUCACUGGUCGAGUCGGCCUGCGCGGAAGAUGUAACGGGGCUAAACC